CUGGAUAUGAGUUCCUAAUCAUGGCUUCCUUAAACUAUGUGUUUUCACAUUCUUUCCAAAUUUUCUCUGUGAAAUGCUCAGGGGAUUAUAAGCAUAAAACUCAAAGCAAGGUCUGACUUCACUUUCUUCUUUAUACCGACCAACACCUUUCUCUAAUGGUCAGCUGCAUCUGGUGCUCCCAGGUCAACCAUUGGUUCCCAUGGCCAAUAGUUUUACUUCAUAGUUAAUGUAAGGUUAUGCCCUACUCAACG
Molecule: long non-coding RNA, 251 nt
Filed under: Lathyrus oleraceus (garden pea)
Lineage: Eukaryota; Viridiplantae; Streptophyta; Magnoliopsida; Fabales; Fabaceae
Description: Pisum sativum (pea) long non-coding RNA (PSAT_LNC012372)
Source: RNAcentral